GACUAGGGUGGUCUGGGACUUUAAGU
This 26-nucleotide non-coding RNA is filed under the name Homo sapiens (human). The record is from RNAcentral. Lineage: Eukaryota; Metazoa; Chordata; Mammalia; Primates; Hominidae.